This 336-nucleotide ribosomal RNA is filed under the name Triticum aestivum (bread wheat). Its description in RNAcentral is "partial small subunit ribosomal RNA". Lineage: Eukaryota; Viridiplantae; Streptophyta; Magnoliopsida; Poales; Poaceae. The record is from RNAcentral.
AAUGCCAGACUACAGGAACAAUAUCCGGCUCUAUAUAAUAUUGUUCGUCACAAGGGUGAUACUAUCUCCAUGGUUCUUGAAUCCUUUCCUCCAAAUGUGACGUUCAGACAAGAUUUAAUAGGCCCCAGACUUGCAUCAUGGAACGAUUUGAUAAAUCAUCUCGCCACGAUACAUUUAUCACAUGGCGUCGAUGAAUUUUGGUGGAAUCUAAAUGUGAGUGGUAAAUUCUUGGUAGAUCCAACGUAUAGAGCGUUGAUCCAGACAAAUGUUGGUGGGAAACGUAGUAGAAAACAAAAAAGAAGUUUGUCCUACAAACACAGUCCAGGAUCACUAUGA